GGUUGAUCCUGCCAGUAUUAUAUGCUGAUGUUAAAGAUUAAGCCAUGCAUGUGUAAGUUUAAAGACCUAGUAGGAUGAAACUGCGGACGGCUCAUUAUAACAGUAAUAGUUUCUUUGGUUAGUAAGUACAAGGAUAACUUUGUGAAUGAUAAAGCUAAUACUUGAGACGAUCCGGGGAGUACUCGUACUUUCCGGCCGGUGGUCGCAAGGCUACCGAGAAGUGACAUUCUCUUGUGAAAAAGGGUGCCAUGACAAUUGAGGAAAGCGACGCUUUUUACAAGUAACCAAUGGG
This 292-nucleotide ribosomal RNA is filed under the name uncultured eukaryote. RNAcentral's name for it is "partial 18S ribosomal RNA". It matches the Rfam family "Eukaryotic small subunit ribosomal RNA", at positions 6 to 302 of the family's 1831-position model. The record is from RNAcentral.